RNAcentral lists this ribosomal RNA (650 nucleotides) under Schistocerca piceifrons peruviana. Its description in RNAcentral is "partial 16S ribosomal RNA". Lineage: Eukaryota; Metazoa; Arthropoda; Insecta; Orthoptera; Acrididae. The record is from RNAcentral.
UAUUUAUUUUAUUAUAUUUAUUUUUUGUUUAUUUAAUUAUUUAAUAAAAAUAAUUUUGUCGAAUUUUGUCUUAGUAUAUUUUGUAGAAUUGAUUUUUUAUAUUAUAGUUUAUUGGUAAUGUAAUUGUUUUAUGAAAUAUUAUUUUAAAUUUUUAAAAGUAGAUUUUAUUUAUUGUACCUUUUGUAUCAGGGUUUAUCAAAAUUUUAGUAUUUACUUUACUUGUCUCGAUUUGGGUUGAUUUAUAAAUAAUUUAUAGUUAAUGUAUCAUAAUUCUUAUUAAAUUAUUUAUAGAAAUGAGAUGUUAACCGUUUCCCAAGAUAUCUAGUUUCUUAAGAAAAAAUUUAAUUUUUUAAAGUUAAUUGUUUUUAUUUAAUUUUUUAAGUAUAAAUAUUAACUUAUUUAUUCUUUAAGGGAUAAGCUUUGAAGUUAAUAACCUAUAAUUUGUUUUAAUAAAAUAUAAUAGUAAGCUUUAAACCAGCUAUCUUUAAGAUUACGUUUUAGUUCAUUAUUUUUAUUUUUGAUUUUAUAACUAUUUUAGGUUUUUUAUUAAAAUUAUAAAUUUAAUUUUUAAAUUUUUGUAAUAAUGAUAGAAUUAGUAUAUUUAUUUGUAUAUAAUUUUUACCUUGGUAAUUUAUUAUAAGGAACUAGGC